GACAGAGGGUGCAAACGUUGCUCGGAAUUACUGGGCGUAAAGCGCGUGUAGGUGGUGGGCCAAGUCUGUGGUGAAAUCGCCCGGCUCAACUGGGCGGGGUCCGUGGAAACUGGUCGACUGGAGGACGGUAGAGGCGAGUGGAAUUCCCGGUGUAGUGGUGAAAUGCGUAGAGAUCGGGAGGAACACCAGUGGCGAAGGCGGCUCGCUGGGCCGGUCCUGACACUGAGACGCGAAGGCGUGGGGAGCGAACGGG
This 253-nucleotide ribosomal RNA is filed under the name uncultured bacterium. Its description in RNAcentral is "partial 16S ribosomal RNA". It matches the Rfam family "Bacterial small subunit ribosomal RNA", at positions 524 to 776 of the family's 1533-position model. The record is from RNAcentral.